ACGACUACUAUUAGACUACCCGUGUACGUCCUAGCCGUAAACGAUACUCGCUAGGUGUCGGCCACGGUGCGACCGUUGUCGGUGCCGUAGGGAAGCCGUGAAGCGAGCCACCUGGGAAGUACGGCCGCAAGGCUGAAACUUAAAGGAAUUGGCGGGGGAGCACAACAACGGGUGGAGCUUGCGGUUUAAUUGGACUCAACGCCGGGAAGCUCACCGGAUAAGACAGCGGAAUGAUUGCCGGGCUGAAGACCCUGCAUGACCAGCUG
Molecule: ribosomal RNA, 266 nt
Filed under: uncultured archaeon
Lineage: Archaea
Description: partial 16S ribosomal RNA
Rfam family: Archaeal small subunit ribosomal RNA
Source: RNAcentral